GCCUGGCUGGCUCAGUUGGUAGAGCACGUGACUCUUGAUCUCAGGUUGUGAGUUCAAGCCCCACAUUGGGUG
RNAcentral lists this transfer RNA (72 nucleotides) under Felis catus (domestic cat). It matches the Rfam family "tRNA". From Rfam's summary of the family: Transfer RNA (tRNA) molecules are approximately 80 nucleotides in length. The record is from Rfam by way of RNAcentral. Lineage: Eukaryota; Metazoa; Chordata; Mammalia; Carnivora; Felidae.